GGCGGUUCUCAGGUGAUGAACUCCAGAAUCGGGCGCCCUCCUCUCUCUGGUUCCGGGUGUGUCAUCUGAGAACUGCC
Molecule: non-coding RNA, 77 nt
Organism: Myotis davidii
Lineage: Eukaryota; Metazoa; Chordata; Mammalia; Chiroptera; Vespertilionidae
Source: Rfam